Manis pentadactyla (Chinese pangolin) is the source of this 190-nucleotide small nuclear RNA. RefSeq annotates it as U2 spliceosomal RNA. NCBI's taxonomy places the organism in Eukaryota, Metazoa, Chordata, Mammalia, Pholidota, Manidae. The record is from RefSeq and is a predicted model, not a curated record. The transcript has a single exon.
AUCACUUCUUGGACUUUUGGCUAAGAUCAACUGUAUUACCUGUUCUUGUCAGUUAAUAUCUGAUACGCCCUCUAUCAGAGGACAAUAUAUAAAAUGGAUUUGGGGAGCAGGGAGAUGGAAUAGGAACUUGUUCCAUCUACACUACUCAUCAACCUGGUAUUGCAGUAUCUCUGGGAACAGUGCACCCCUU